This 482-nucleotide ribosomal RNA is filed under the name uncultured bacterium. RNAcentral describes it as "partial 16S ribosomal RNA". It matches the Rfam family "Bacterial small subunit ribosomal RNA", at positions 30 to 507 of the family's 1533-position model. The record is from RNAcentral.
AUUGAACGCUGGCGGCAUGCCUUACACAUGCAAGUCGAACGGAAACAGGUCUUGGGUUCCUGACGGGUGUCGAAGGGGGGAGUAAUACAUCGGAACGUGCCCCGACCCGGGGAAUAACGAGUCAAAAGCUGUGCUAAUACCUCAUACGAGCUAAGAUUGAAAGCAGGGGGCCGCAAGGCUUAGUGCGUGUGUAGCGGCCGAUGGCAGAUUAGGUAGUUGGUGGGGUAAAAGCUUACCAAGCCGACGAUCUCUAGCUGGUCUGAGAGGACGACCAGCCACACUGGAACUGAGACACGGCCCAGACUCCUACGGGAGGCAGCAGUGGGGAAUUUUGGACAAUGGGCGAAAGCCUGAUCCAGCAAUGCCGCGUGAAGGAUGAAGGCCUUCGGGUUGUAAAAUGCUUUUGUACGGAAAGAAAAGGUUCUGGCUAAUACCUGGGGAACAUGACGGUACCGUAAGAAUAAGCACCGGCUAACUACGUG